This is a long non-coding RNA of Passer domesticus (house sparrow), 1102 nucleotides long. RefSeq lists it as uncharacterized. Lineage: Eukaryota; Metazoa; Chordata; Aves; Passeriformes; Passeridae. The transcript has 2 exons. The record is from RefSeq and is a predicted model, not a curated record.
AGGCGGCGCGGGCCGCGCGCGGCCCGGAGCAGCGGGCACAGCCGCCUCAUCCCGCACACCGCCGCAGGCCGCGGCGCCGCCCGCCGCGCCGCUCCGCGCGCGCUGAUUGGCUCGGACGGCGGAGUGACAGCGCGCCCGGCCAAUGGGGAGUGAGGAGAGCGUGGCGGGGCUGGGGGUGUGUGAGGGGUGUGUCGGCCGCCAUGUUGAGUGUGGCGGUCAGAGGUCACGGGCUGUACCCUCACGGCACCGCCCUGCCCUCGCAGCUCACCGCGCUGCACUUUGGAACCGUAGAGUCGUAUCGACACAGUGCCAGGCUGCGCCAGGGGAGGGCCAGGUUGGACGUGAGCGGGGAUUUCCUCACAGAAAGGGUGGUUGGACUUUGGGCGGUGGAGUCACCUCCCUGCAGGUGGCACUUGGUGCCGCGCUCUGAUGGAGAAGUUCGGUCUGAAGUUGGACUUGAUGAUCUCAGAGGGCCUCUCCAACCGAAUUGAUUCAGUGAUUCUGUGAAUCAUCAGGAUUGGAAGAGACCUUUGGGAUCAUCCAGUCCAAGUUAGCAGCGUUACCCCUGAACCACAGCAAGGAAUGCCAGAUGUGGGCACAGAAACACCUCCAGGGGUGGUGACCCCACACAUCCUUGGGCAGCCUUGACAGUACAGGGAUAAAAUGUUUCUGUCUGUGUCAGAUUCCCAGGGCAGUGUCUUUGGAGACAGGAGUAGGGAAAACUUACUAUCUGCUUCAGCUGCUGCUUGGAAAAUGAAAACACAUCUCUGGCUGUCGGGACCUGAGGGCACCACGAGAUGUCAGUGGCCCUGCCCAGCCUCACCUGGGACCUUCUCCAUGGUUCAGGAGCCCCAUUCCACCUCAGCCUGGGGCUCUCAGACCCCUGCCCAGGCUGCAGGGGCCCCUCAUCCCAAACUCCUGCCCUUCUCCCCCGGAUCUGCCUUGCCACCAUGGACCUUUAUCCUUGAAAACGUUUAUUUCUGAAAACUGGAUGUUAUUAUUAGAAAAGUGGAGAUUGAAAGAGCCUAAUUGCACUUCAGUAAUUGUAAAUUCUGUCUCUGAGCAAAAAGACAAGCUAAUAAAAGAUGGAAAGUCAAUUUGA